AGUGAACGCUGGCGGUAGGCCUAACACAUGCAAGUCGAACGGCAGCACAGUAAGAGCUUGCUCUUACGGGUGGCGAGUGGCGGACGGGUGAGGAAUACAUCGGAAUCUACUUUUUCGUGGGGGACAACGUAGGGAAACUUACGCUAAUACCGCAUACGACCUACGGGUGAAAGCAGGGGAUCUUCGGACCUUGCGCGAUUGAAUGAGCCGAUGUCGGAUUAGCUAGUUGGCGGGGUAAAGGCCCACCAAGGCGACGAUCCGUAGCUGGUCUGAGAGGAUGAUCAGCCACACUGGAACUGAGACACGGUCCAGACUCCUACGGGAGGCAGCAGUGGGGAAUAUUGGACAAUGGGCGCAAGCCUGAUCUAGCCAUACCGCGUGGGUGAAGAAGGCCUUCGGGUUGUAAAGCCCUUUUGUUGGGAAAGAAAAGCAGCAGGUUAAUACCCCGCUGUUCUGACGGUACCCAAAGAAUAAGCACCGGCUAACUUCGUG
RNAcentral lists this ribosomal RNA (492 nucleotides) under uncultured bacterium. RNAcentral describes it as "partial 16S ribosomal RNA". It matches the Rfam family "Bacterial small subunit ribosomal RNA", at positions 29 to 507 of the family's 1533-position model. The record is from RNAcentral.